UCCUACGGGAGGCAGCAGUGGGGAAUAUUGCACAAUGGGCGAAAGCCUGAUGCAGCGACGCCGCGUGAGGGAUGAAGGCCUUCGGGUUGUAAACCUCUUUCAGCAGGGAAGAAGCGAAAGUGACGGUACCUGCAGAAGAAGCACCGGCUAACUACGUGCCAGCAGCCGCGGUAAUACGUAGGGUGCAAGCGUUGUCCGGAAUUAUUGGGCGUAAAGAGCUUGUAGGCGGUUUGUCGCGUCUGCUGUGAAAUUUCGGGGCUCAACCCCGAACUUGCAGUGGGUACGGGCAGGCUAGAGUGUGGUAGGGGAGACUGGAAUUCCUGGUGUAGCGGUGAAAUGCGCAGAUAUCAGGAGGAACACCGAUGGCGAAGGCAGGUCUCUGGGCCACUACUGACGCUGAGAAGCGAAAGCAUGGGGAGCGAACAGGAUUAGAUACCCUGGUAGUCCAUGCCGUAAACGUUGGGAACUAGGUGUGGGCCUCAUUCCACGAGGUCCGUGCCGCAGCUAACGCAUUAAGUUCCCCGCCUGGGGAGUACGGCCGCAAGGCUAAAACUCAAAGGAAUUGACGGGGGCCCGCACAAGCGGCGGAGCAUGCGGAUUAAUUCGAUGCAACGCGAAGAACCUUACCAAGGCUUGACAUGUGCCGGAAAAGUGCAGAGAUGUGCUCCCCGCAAGGUCGGCGCACAGGUGGUGCAUGGUUGUCGUCAGCUCGUGUCGUGAGAUGUUGGGUUAAGUCCCGCAACGAGCGCAACCCUCGUUCUAUGUUGCCAGCACGUAAUGGUGGGGACUCAUAGGAGACUGCCGGGGUCAACUCGGAGGAAGGUGGGGAUGACGUCAAAUCAUCAUGCCCCUUAUGUCUUGGGCUUCACGCAUGCUACAAUGGCCAGUACAAAGGGCUGCGAUACCGCAAGGUGGAGCGAAUCCCAAAAAACUGGUCUCAGUUCGGAUUGGGGUCUGCAACUCGACCCCAUGAAGUCGGAGUCGCUAGUAAUCGCAGAUCAGCAACGCUGCGGUGAAUACGUUCCCGGGCCUUGUACACACCGCAU
RNAcentral lists this ribosomal RNA (1046 nucleotides) under uncultured Oryzihumus sp. RNAcentral's name for it is "bacterial SSU rRNA". It matches the Rfam family "Bacterial small subunit ribosomal RNA", at positions 337 to 1395 of the family's 1533-position model. Lineage: Bacteria; Bacillati; Actinomycetota; Actinomycetes; Micrococcales; Intrasporangiaceae. The record is from RNAcentral.